This 370-nucleotide unclassified non-coding RNA is filed under the name Hevea brasiliensis (rubber tree). Lineage: Eukaryota; Viridiplantae; Streptophyta; Magnoliopsida; Malpighiales; Euphorbiaceae. The record is from RNAcentral.
CCCUCUAGUACGGUGUGUGGUGCAAGGACGCACCAGACAGAACCUGGUGGGCUUGUAAUGACCCAGGGAUGGGGUUGUGAAGUACUCUUUCAGCCAGCUACGCAUUGGAGUGGACUUCGUGUCCCACAUCGAAAACGGGAAGGAAAUAUUUUAGCCAUAUAUGUGGGAGCUUUCCUCACCUGGUUAGCGCACUUUUGGGAAUGAAACAUUCCAAGGGACAAAUCCGUGAGGCCAUUGGGCCAAAGCGGACAAUACUAACCGAAAAGAUUAAAUUUAAUUGUGAUAUAGUGCAAACGUUUGCCAUUUUUUUCUCCAUUCUUCAAAAAAAUAUUAAAAAUGCAACAUUAUUAGAGUUAAAGCUUAUAUGUUA